UGGAUCAUGACACAUAGAAAAAAGGGAAACAAGGAACGAAAAGGACUCGCGAGUGACGCGAUUCAUGUCCCGAUUCGCUCCAUCUAUCGGUGGACGCUUGAUUCGCUACUAGUGGCGCCGAGACUUGCGUCGAUUAAUUCAUGUGCCGUUGACACGUCGUUCGCUCGUCCGAGAAAUCCGUCCAUUCAGAUCAUCAGCGACGCAUUCUUGCACCUGCCGCCGGCCACGCCACGGUACCCCAGCGCCGAGCCCCUCCGCCUCUGGCCCUCUGCCGCUGCCUCCACCCCCAGCGUCGCCUCCGUCCCCCCAGAGCCGUCACGCUCUCCGCCGCGUCUGCCGCCUCAGCCCCGCCGCGCCCUCCGCCGCCCUUCCCUUACUCCCGUUGUUCCUCCUCUACCAACGGAUUAAGGUGCUGAUUUCCGUUAUCGUUGGUUCCUUUGCUUUUAGGAUGCACUAUUGUGGCCUGGAUAUUCUCCUGAUUGUGUUUCUUGAUAUCACGCAUUGAGGUUUAUUAUGGAGAUCUGAAGUAAUCUUUCCUCUUUAUUUUUCCUGAUGUAAAUUGGACUUGCAAAUUUUUAAUGAACAAUAUACAUGCAUCCAAUCGACCAGCAAAAGUUCUAUCAUUAUAACAUCUUCAGACAGAGGGCUUUAGUGUGCUUGUUUUAAUGAGUUCUAUCAGAAAACAUGUCAUGUAACUGAACUUGGUUAACAAAUUGAUCUGCAAUGAUCUGCAAUGCCGGCGAGACGCACUAGGCUAGAACCUGCUUAUACAAGAGCUGUGAGAUUCUUGACUUGUGAGAUUACUAAUUGAAUUCAGUUGGCUGGUUGUGAAUUCAGAAUAGUACUGUGUGUUUCAUCCUAUGAGAUUCUUAACUUCUGAGAUUCAGAAAAUUUUGUUCAAUCCAUCUUAAUUCUAGCAGCCGAGAGAGUCUUAACUUGAGUCACACUUCAGAAUCAGUAUUUUUGAGAUUGGUUAAUGUAAAUAUGUAGCAGCGUAUUAUUUUUCAUAUAUCUAAACUGACAUGUGCUUGUCACAGUACAGAGAGCAAAUCUAUUGCUAUGUCAUCUCACGAUCGCACUGGACCCCGAACCCCGUUUCAGGAUAUGAGAAAUAACCAAGGCUUGGACCCUAAGGAGUUAAAGAAGCAGCGGGACAAAGAAUAUUAUGCACGAAAUAGAGAUAAUAUUCUCGCUAUGCACGAAAAUCAUGUGCUGCAGAAUUAUACUCGGAAUAGGAAGCACUCUUGUGGUGUUUGCAACUCUUUCCUACCUGAGGCGCAUGAGAUAUGCACAACUCUGUGUGUCCAAAUAUGUCUCCACAUUCAGAAUUUACAGACGACAGCUACAUAAAACCUACACUCUUAUUUGCAAUGACAAUAUGGAACAUAUUUGUAAUGAGACAUGGACUAAACUUAUGAUUGCAUUAACAAUGAUGUCACACGUAGAAA
Brachypodium distachyon (stiff brome) is the source of this 1448-nucleotide long non-coding RNA. RefSeq lists it as uncharacterized. Lineage: Eukaryota; Viridiplantae; Streptophyta; Magnoliopsida; Poales; Poaceae. The record is from RefSeq and is a predicted model, not a curated record. The transcript is spliced from 2 exons.